CGCUCAUCCAGAGGGGCAGAGGGACACGGCCCGUUGAAGCCCCGGCAACCCUCCAGUCGGUUCUCGCGAUCGCGCACAUCAGCGACGUCAGCGAGGUCCCCGGCUAGGGAAGGUGCCAAUUCCGUCUCAUGGCGAAGUGCGCCAUGGGGAAGAUGAGGA
This 159-nucleotide non-coding RNA is filed under the name Streptomyces sp. RNAcentral describes it as "SAM-I sequence". It matches the Rfam family "SAM riboswitch aptamer (S box leader)". From Rfam's summary of the family: The SAM riboswitch is found upstream of a number of genes which code for proteins involved in methionine or cysteine biosynthesis in Gram-positive bacteria. The SAM riboswitch acts at the level of transcription termination control. The predicted structure consists of a complex stem-loop region followed by a single stem loop terminator region. Lineage: Bacteria; Bacillati; Actinomycetota; Actinomycetes; Kitasatosporales; Streptomycetaceae. The record is from RNAcentral.